GAUGAACGCUGGCGGCGUGCUUAACACAUGCAAGUCGAACGGAAAGGCUCCUGCUUGCAGGGGUACUCGAGUGGCGAACGGGUGAGUAACACGUGGGUGAUCUGCCCUGCACUUCGGGAUAAGCCUGGGAAACUGGGUCUAAUACCGGAUAGGACGAUGGUUUGGAUGCCAUUGUGGAAAGUUUUUUCGGUGUGGGAUGAGCUCGCGGCCUAUCAGCUUGUUGGUGGGGUAAUGGCCUACGAAGGCGUAGACGGGUAGCCGGCCUGAGAGGGUGUACGGCCACAUUGGGACUGAGAUACGGCCCAGACUCCUACGGGAGGCAGCAGUGGGGAAUAUUGCACAAUGGGCGCAAGCCUGAUGCAGCGACGCCGCGUGGGGGAUGACGGCCUUCGGGUUGUAAACUCCUUUCGCUAGGGACGAAGCGCAAGUGACGGUACCUGGAGAAGAAGCACCGGCUAACUACGUG
This 466-nucleotide ribosomal RNA is filed under the name uncultured bacterium. RNAcentral's name for it is "partial 16S ribosomal RNA". It matches the Rfam family "Bacterial small subunit ribosomal RNA", at positions 28 to 507 of the family's 1533-position model. The record is from RNAcentral.